RNAcentral lists this long non-coding RNA (1588 nucleotides) under Vigna radiata. RNAcentral describes it as "long non-coding RNA (VRAD_LNC018323)". The record is from RNAcentral. Lineage: Eukaryota; Viridiplantae; Streptophyta; Magnoliopsida; Fabales; Fabaceae.
AAAUAUUAAUCAAAUUAAAAAAGCCAAAUUACUUGGAAUGGAGAGUAGUAAUGGGGAAAGCCAAAAGAGUAAAGAAAAUGGAGUGAAAUUGGAAUACUUCAACAAAACUAGGUUGGACCAAAGAGACUGGAGGAGACAACGACGCCUUGGUGGUUUAAAGAGGAACGACGAGAGAGGUGAACACUUCACUGGUUCAAAAUGAAAGACAAAAUUAGGUGAUGAGGAUAGAAGAACAACAAAAAAACAAUGAAUGAAGAAGUGACUGAGAGAGACAAAAUAAUAUGAUGGAAAGGAAUAUCGAUCUAGAGUAAACUUGCAAUGAAAAUAGGUGGUGUUAUAGUGUGCUUCAACAACGGGCAUACGAGAGAAGAAUUAUACAUACACAAAAAAGUGGAAAAGUAAACAUUUUUAACUAUGGUCAACUAUAUCACAACGGUUAAGUAACCAAACCGUUAUUAUUUUUUAGUUCCACAACGAUUAUAUGUCAAACCUUUGUGAUUUUUGAAACUUCCACGAUGGUUUCUAAGAAAACCAUCAUGAUUUGACUUUUUCAAAAUUUUAACUUCAUUGUAUUUUUAAAUAUGCUACUGCGUUUUUGUUUCAAUAUGUUAGUGCGGUGAACUUCAUAAAUCAACUUCGUUGAUGAGAUUUUUUGCACUAAUGAAUCAUAGAUUCACUAAGUGGAUAUAAACUCUUUCGAUACUAGUAUUAUAAUAAUAUUCAGAUAAGUGUAAGUCUAAGUUUUGUAUUAAAUAAAAAAUUAAGUAAUAUAUAAAAAAAAUUCAUAAAAAUAUAAUCUUAGUAGAAUUUUAGAUUAAAGGUAGUAUAUAUAAAUUCAUGUUUCAUGAUGUUUUCUAAUAAAUUUUUCCCCAAAAAUCCAUCAUAUAAAUAUAUAGUUAUAAUUUAUGUAUUAAAGACUUCAAAUCUAUCAUUAUAUAUGUAGUUUACGUAAUGCUUAUUCGAGUAUGUAUGUAUGUAGAUGGAAAAGAAAUGUAAGUAUGUAUAAAAAUUCCACUAAAAGUGAUAAACAGAUUUAAAGAAAAUAGACAAAAGAAAAAUGACAUAAAGGCAAAGAAGGUUGGAACAGGUAAAGCAAGAAGAAGACAUAGGGCACAUCAAAAGCAAUGGAAGCAGUUAAAUUAGUACGGAGUACAGAGAUCACGUCUUUAACUUUUUACUCGUUUAUCAAUGGCCUUUGAGCAAUGAUAAUAAUAUGUACACCAAACAGACCUUUAUUUAUUUAAUAAUAAUAAUAAUAUUAUUAUUAUUAUUAUUAUUAUUAUUAUUUUUUCUAUGUGGGGGAUCCAACAUAAUGUUUGCUUGCGUGAAUAGGCAAUUGCUGGUUGGGUUGGUUGUCAUCGGAUACAUACAAAAGCAUCAUAUUCCCUACCCAAACUUUUGUUCUUUUUAUUUUAUUUUGUGAGUUUAAAGUUGUUUGAGGCAGUAUUUUUGUUGUGUUGUGGUCCUUGCUUCAGUUGAUAACAUAUAUUAUAUUAUUGAAAUGAUGGAAUGCGAUAUUCAUGAACCCAAAGAAGGCAAAAAUGGAGAUGACAAUGAUCAAUGAUUGAUUGAUACGUAGGCAAGCAUU